This 473-nucleotide ribosomal RNA is filed under the name uncultured Desulfobulbus sp. RNAcentral's name for it is "bacterial SSU rRNA". It matches the Rfam family "Bacterial small subunit ribosomal RNA", at positions 916 to 1381 of the family's 1533-position model. The record is from RNAcentral. Lineage: Bacteria; Pseudomonadati; Thermodesulfobacteriota; Desulfobulbia; Desulfobulbales; Desulfobulbaceae.
GACGGGGCCCGCACAAGCGGUGGAGUAUGUGGUUAAUUCGAUGCAACGCGAAGAACCUUACCUGGUCUUGACAUCCCGGAGACCCUUAGGAAACUAGGGGUGCUUCCAUCUGGAAGAAUCUGGAGACAGGUGCUGCAUGGCUGUCGUCAGCUCGUGUCGUGAGAUGUUGGGUUAAGUCCCGCAACGAGCGCAACCCUUGCCUUUAGUUGCCAGCAGUUCGGCUGGGCACUCUAAAGGGACUGCCGGUGUUAAACCGGAGGAAGGUGGGGAUGACGUCAAGUCCUCAUGGCCUUUAUGACCAGGGCUACACACGUACUACAAUGGCCGAUACAAAGGGCAGCGACACUGCGAGGUGAAGCCAAUCCCGUAAAAUCGGUCUCAGUCCGGAUUGGAGUCUGCAACUCGACUCCAUGAAGUUGGAAUCGCUAGUAAUCGUGGAUCAGCAUGCCACGGUGAAUACGUUCCCGGGCCUU